GAGCAAUGAUGAAAAGGUUUUCCUACUGACCUUUACAGUUAUGAAGGUUUCUACACUUGAUCUGAGCUCA
This 70-nucleotide small nucleolar RNA is filed under the name Zalophus californianus (California sea lion). RNAcentral's name for it is "Small nucleolar RNA U2-30 (ENSZCAG00015016583.1)". It matches the Rfam family "Small nucleolar RNA U2-30". From Rfam's summary of the family: U2-30 is a member of the C/D class of snoRNA which contain the C (UGAUGA) and D (CUGA) box motifs. Lineage: Eukaryota; Metazoa; Chordata; Mammalia; Carnivora; Otariidae. The record is from RNAcentral.